This 7173-nucleotide long non-coding RNA is filed under the name Chlamydomonas reinhardtii. RNAcentral describes it as "long non-coding RNA (CREI_LNC000643)". Lineage: Eukaryota; Viridiplantae; Chlorophyta; Chlorophyceae; Chlamydomonadales; Chlamydomonadaceae. The record is from RNAcentral.
UUGGCGACAGCACAGCACAGCAGCGGCAGGCGCCACCGCCCGAGCUAGUGCUGCAGUGCUUGACGCCGCUGCCGAUGCAGCAGCUGGCAGCGGUGCACGGGCGGCAGGACAUGGUGGAUUACCUGGACGCAGUAGCUAAGGGUUUGAGAGGGGAAAUGAUGAUUGAGUGCGGCAGUGCCGGCGCCGGCGGAAGCGGCAUGGGGGUGCAAGGGCCUGCCAGCAUGGAGGGCGGCGCGUCGCACGCUAGCGCCACGGCGGAUAGGUUGAGGGCGAAGUGGGUUGGCGCCGUGCGGCCGCGGUACCCGUGGCUGUUGUCUCAAGGCCAGGCACAGGCGGGGCUGCAUGACCUGAUGGUCGCAGAGGCGGCGGCUGCAGCGGCAGCUACUGCUACGGGCGAGCCCUCAGUAGCCUGCGGCGGCGGUGGCAGCAGCGGGAGCAGUAGCAGGAGCAGUAGUGGGCAGGGCAGCAGCAGCGAUGGGCCGGUAUUUGAGCACAAGCUGUGCUACAACCCGCGCUGCUGCUCGCUGGACGGCCCCAGCGCGUUGGUUGCGCCCCGCGGCGGCAAGACGUGUGUGCGGUGCCGUGCUGCCACGUAUUGCUGCGGCGCUUGCCAGCUUGUGGACUGGCGUGAGCGGCACUCUGGCACCUGCAGUGGAGCCGCCGCGGCGGCGGCAGGGUCAGCAGGGACAGCGAAGGCAGCGCUGAAGAAGGCAUGAAUGCUACGGGCGAGCCCUCAGUAGCCUGCGGCGGCGGUGGCAGCAGCGGGAGCAGUAGCAGGAGCAGUAGUGGGCAGGGCAGCAGCAGCGAUGGGCCGGUAUUUGAGCACAAGCUGUGCUACAACCCGCGCUGCUGCUCGCUGGACGGCCCCAGCGCGUUGGUUGCGCCCCGCGGCGGCAAGACGUGUGUGCGGUGCCGUGCUGCCACGUAUUGCUGCGGCGCUUGCCAGCUUGUGGACUGGCGUGAGCGGCACUCUGGCACCUGCAGUGGAGCCGCCGCGGCGGCGGCAGGGUCAGCAGGGACAGCGAAGGCAGCGCUGAAGAAGGCAUGAACUGACGAAGUGCAACAGCAGUAUGGACCCGAAGACUGCGCUUCAAAUGCGGCGUUUUGCGGUUUGUAUGAGAGUGAGAGUGCGAUGCAUGGCGUGGACUCUUGGGUCGUUUGCCACGCCGAGCGUGCAGCAAGAAGCGCUCAAAAAGCCCAAUUGGCUCUGCUUUGCAUUAGCGCAUUACGGUUGAUGACCGCUGACGCGGGUGGUCCGCGCCUUCAUCGGCCGGGAUUACAGAGCGGACUCCACACCGAAUGUAUGAGUGCCAGACCUGCGAUGCUAAUCUUACUUCGCCAAGGCUAGCCUCCUCGCUCCUUUGAGGCUUGAUACCGUAUCAAGGUUUUGGGCAGGAGUAGGGGCAUCAUGAGCGGCGGCGGGGUAACAGGGUGGGGUACAGGCUGCAGUGUUGUUCGGGUUUGGGCGCGUUCUAGGCAUGUGGCACCCGUAUGUGGCAGAGCAAUUUGACUGUCCCCAACAUGUUUAUGUGCCCGCCGAGAAUGCUAAGCUGACGGUCUGAACUUCGCGGUUUUUGUAGUUGCACGACUGUAUGUCAUUAGAGUUUCGGCCAUUGUCGCAGGUGCAGGCGCAGUGCAGUAGAAUGCAGGGGCGUGGGCGAGGAGGAGAGGGCUGACGGACAACUGGAGGCCGUGAUGCGGCGGUAGAUACGGUAGGUACAGGACUGGGAGGCGCACCAAAUGCAUGACUGACUUACCAGUGCACGGCUGAACGCGAUGGCUACAUGUGCGGACUGCGGACGGGCUUGGAACAUCAGCUUAUGAAUGAGGGACGGUGCACUGUUGCCGACGCAUUCGGCCUAUCACGGCAUGCACUCACAUGGCAUCAUCUCGCUCUACACCGCCAGUCUUUGGUGCCACGGCAAGAGGUGGGGCCCCGGUGGAUGGGUGUGCAGGAGGGCGGGGUGGUUUGGCGGUAGGGAUGGGAGUGCGGAAGUGGACGACAAGGUCAAGCUUGCAGGAGGUGUUGUUUGCGGUAACAGCUGGAUGGUGGCAUGUUUUGUCGUUGUAAUAUGGGACAAGCAGCAUGAGGAUGCGUUGUCGAGGAUCAAGUUCACGAGCAUGCCAUCAGGUGAGUUGAACAAGAAAGGCCGUUAGUAAGGGCGUGCUAUGGCUGCUGCAAGUUGUUUCGGGUUAAGGAGGAGGGUGGCAUCCCUGGCCACUGGCGAUCCACCGGGUCACCUGCGCAAGGUAGGCGGUGGCGAGCUCCUUGUUGUUGGGGGGGGGCGGGUGGCACAGCCGCACAGCCGGUUUGGUGGUUGGAUGACGGUGGCAGUGCCGGGCCAGUUCCUGAUACCUUCCGUACUCGUGAUGAGCCGUGUGUGACAUCCGUACUCGUGAUGUUCGGUGUUUGUGUCAUAGCCUUGGGCAAACCUAACUGAGCAUUUACGUGGUUUCGAGUCCAACUCGGACACCUGCAAUUCAUCUGUGAUCUGUCAGCUGAGAGCACGCACAUGACGGACGCGGGUCUGCUGCACGUGGCGUACGGCUGCCCCGCCCUGCACAGCCUGCGCUUCAGCGCCACGGGCAUCGCCGAUUGGGGCGUGCGCCGACCGGUGGUGCUGGCAGGGCCUCUGCCCGGUGUUCGCGUCGUGGUCGCAGCAGCAGGGGCAGAAGGCUGGAGGGGCGGCGUUAAGGCGGCAGGCGCUGUGGGUGCCGAGGCACGGGCGGCUUGCAACCAGAUGGCAGCGCGCUGUUGGUUGGGACGUUGGGUUGCACUUGGGGGUGCGCUGGGUGAUAACUUUGUUGCAGGAACGGUGGUAGGCGCCUGGCGUGCGGUAUCCCGCGAGCAGCGGGUGCGCCGCGACGCGUUGACCACUCAGCCUGGCUGCGCACGCUAUGGUCAACUCGGCAUGGGGCCGUUCGACAGAGGCCAGCACACAUGCCGACGUGUAUCCGCUGUCCCCUCCCAGCUGUCCCUUCCAGUAGUCCCUUCCAGUUGUCCCUUCCAGCUGUCCCACACCAACUGUCCCACCCCAGCUGUCCCUUCGGCUCCCUUCUCAAAACGCAGCUUUCAGCAAAAUCUACAGCCUGCCCGACUCCCAGCGUGUGCGACCUUCCGCCCGCCUUCCAAAACGCAACAGCCCCCGCCUCUCCUCGCCAGCCGCUCACAGCCGAAACUCUGCUUCUUUCUUUAUCAGCCACAAACAUCAGCCACAAACAAGGCCUCGGAAACAACGCCUCGGAAACUUCCUCCCAACUAGUGCGCGGCCACAGCUCCCCUACCGAACGUCGCAGCACCUAUCCUCACCAUCAGCAACGCUUCCUCACCUCCGGUUGUGUUGUUGGCGUGUUGCACCGCAUUCGGCCUGCCCGCCACAAUUGUCGUACACAUUCGGGCCCCUCUUCUGCUUUGCUUCGCCUUGUUCCUGCCCCUGUUUGUCACACUGUCGCCCGGCCAUUGUUUUGCUGCACGCCGUUGCAUUACGCUAGUGCUCGUCUACACAGCUCAUCCGUGGACGCCGGUCGACUGCCUGCAGGUGCGCAUCGGCUAUGCUAUCCGCGCGGUGUGGCGUCGCAUUGAGUCUGUGUGGUGCUAUCGCCUUGGCCGGGCGCCCGGAGCGUGAGGAAUGCGCGUCAGCAAAACAUCGACACAACCUGCCAGCUACCGUCGGUACAGUAACAGCGCGCGAACGACGCACCAAUGCCUUGUCCCUUCUUGCUACGCAUUUAUGUGGGCACGGGUGGGAGCCACACACAUCGGGACUACGCUUUCCUGCCCCUUGCCAUGUUCCAUCACAUGCCGACGUGUAGCAGUUUGGACUUUAUUAAUAGGUUGCACUGUUGACGUGAGCUCAAGCUUUCCGCUUAGAAGAGUAGUUGCUAGCAGUGCUAGUGAAGCUGCGUAUACUGUAACUUUCCUGAAGUCGUCAAUUUUUUCUACGCUGCAUACGCACCCUCAUGAUAAUCCUGGUUGUCAUAGAACAUGCCACCUAGACGGGCUCGAGUCCCUGCAACUCUCGAGAGCCGCAUCAAGCAAGGUCUGCAAUACUUUGCUGGCCUGCGCGAGGACGAGGCAGCAGAUGUUGCCCGUGCAAAGGACCUGGGCGAUGCACUCCUUGAAGCUGACAUGAACAUUAUCAGCAAUACCGGGAUUUUGAGCGGCAUCGUGGCUGCGCAUGCCUGGGCCGCGCGUGCGCUUGCCGUUGACGUUCUGAACGACUCGGCUUACGUCGCUUUUGUAGCGACCGCAACUAAUCUAGGAGAACUGCUCAGCAGCCAGCCGGGCGACCAAGCUUACGGCAGGCAGGACCGGUUGGUCCGAGCCCUGCUGAGGGCGGACACGCUCGCCGUGCACGCGAGGCUGUGUGUACGGACGCUCGCGCCCACCCGCGGGGCCGCCGCCCGCCGCAGCCUCCGGCCACCGGAUGCAAUCAAGCGGGAUCUGGUAUGGCGUGUCCUCCAGAACCUCUCCACGAUUGCCCGAUUUGUGAACAACAGCCGGGAUGCUGGCCUCAAGCACGAGCUGGUGACGGCGCUGGCGCACACGCAGCUGCUCGAGCACGCCGCGCGGGCGCUGCUAAGCGCCGCCCAGGCCAUUCAGCCCGCAUCCAGCGAAGGAACUUCAGGGGCGGCUGCAGCUUCGGGAACGGGGCUUCCACCUGAGAGCUGGAUAACCGUGUCGGGCGUAGCAACCACAUUUGCCCACGCGCUUUCGUGCCUGGUGGGCACAGACCUGCGCACUACCGCGCUGUGCCCACGACCCCGCGAACGGGACGCAUCUGUGGAGGUGUCGCAGAAUUCGAGGCAGCUACAACUGCUGGAGCAGCUGCGGCCGCUGCUGGCCAGCCGCUGCGUGCAGCUCUGCACGGGAUGGGCGGGCCUGUGUGCGGCCAUUACCGUACGGCAGCGGGCAGCGGACGACAGCGCUCAGCAGGGCUUGGUACCAACUGCGUCGCAGCUGUGGCACGGGCUGCCGUCGGAGCUGAUACGGCCGCUGCAGCUGCCGCCGCAGGCCACUGUGUCAAGCCAGGAUAUGGUGCGCACAGCGACCCUGGUACGUAUACGGUACUCGACCGCCGAUGCGCAAGAUGGGCUGCUGCGUUAGUUGACGGGGAGCUUGACGGGGAUAUAAGUGCAUGAACUGCAAUGCUCCCGGCGGGGCUCUCCGGUAUACAAUCUAGUGUUGGCAUUACAGGAACUUAGCGUUGACAUUAGCUCGCCAUUUGCUCGCCGCCUUGCAGGCACUGCCUAUGGUCCUGCAGGUGACGGUCAGCGGCCCCUGCGACCUGGCCAUCGCCCAGCCGCCCGUGGGCUACGACCGCCUGCCGCACAGGCAGCCACAGCCGCAGCGACCAUCGGCGGGGCCAUCAGCAGCGGGGUCAGCAGCAGCGGAGGGGCCGGCUGCAGCACCAGCACCAGCUUCGUACAGCGCCGUAAACGCGUACGGGCUGCUUAAGGCAUUAUGGCACUGCCUGGCCUGUGACCGCGCCACUUACACGUGCAACCUGUGCGCAGUCGCCACGGUAAUGACCCGGCUGCUGACGGAGCUGCGGCCGCGGCAGGCGGCGGUGCUGCUGCCGAGUUGGUGGCAGCUGCUGGCGCAGGAGCCGUCCAUGCUCAUUGAGGGGUACGGGCUUGCGCAGGACGCAGGGGAGCUGCUGCGGCUGCAGUUGAAUGCGCCGCCGCCGGUCGCGUGGGCUGUUGGGGUGACGGAUGCAGCUUCCGUGGCUGCGGCGAGUGUGGACUGGCCGCCGGAAGCGGCGGAGGUGCAGGACGCGGAGGCGGCGACAGCAGCGAAGGCAGCAGCCAGCCUGGCGCGUGAGAGGGACCCCAGCUACAGCCUCCGCUGCGCGCUGGACGCGGGGCUGCUGUCAGUUAUGGAACGGUGCCUUCGCGCGCCACAGGCCUGGCGGCAGUCCAACAGCGUGAGCAAGCUGCUGUACGUCGUAAACUGCGUGCUGCGCUACUCGGGCGUGUGGCCCGCGGUGCUGGCUCGCGGUCCCGUGCAGCAGGCGGUGUCGCUGAUUGCCACGCUGGGCGCAGCAGCUCGGCUGCUGCAGGAGAAGGACACGUCACUGGACGUGAUAAGCCGUGCCUCCCAGCCUGGCAUGCAAACAACGGCAAGGUGCGGCGCCGGCGGCUACCUGUGUGCCUACCUGUCCGCAAUGCUGGAGCAGGUCGUGGACGUGCGGGCGCUGGGCGAGGGCGCACAGCAGCAGCAGCAGCGGGAGGAGCAGCAGGCAGCAGCUAUCGAUGCUACGGCCACAGCCGCAAUUUCCACCCCACUGCACCUCAACUCGGUGCUGGAGCAGGUAGUGGAUUCGAAGGACGGCAGUGUCGAGCCCUCCACGUGCUCCAUCGCCUGGAUGGCGGCGGCGGGCGGCCUGCCAGCUGCCGGCUCCACAGCGUACCGGCAGCAGCAGCUGCUCACGAGCUUCGCGGUGUACCAGUGGCUGCCCAUGCUGGCAAAGGCAACGGAGGAUGCCUUGUGGAGUAGUGAGGCGGGCGCCGAGGGCUGGCUGUCGCAGGCGCUCCUGGUGGGGCACCUGGUGAUGGAUGUGCUCUGGCGCGAGGAGCGCCCGCCAGCUGAAGCCGACGAGGGCGCUGGCUCACACAACCGACGACAGGACGCGGCGUGGUGGGAGGGCGUGACGCAGACUGGCCAGCUUGCGAAGAGCAUGCACAAUAUUAUGGACGUGCUGGCAACAGACGCCGUAAGGCCGCUGCUGCUUGAGCACUGUGAACAGUGGCAGCAGGCAGCCGUGUUGGACCUGUUGCAAUCCUAUUGGACACGCUUUGCGGGGGCGGCGCGUGUCACGAUACGUGCGUGGGCGAUACGGGCGGCCGAACAACAGCAUCAGCGGACGGAUGGAAAGCAGCAGGCUGGGCAGGCGGCGGAGGGCGGGAAGGGCAGCAGCACGAGCAGCCUUGGCGACAGCACAGCACAGCAGCGGCAGGCGCCACCGCCCGAGCUAGUGCUGCAGUGCUUGACGCCGCUGCCGAUGCAGCAGCUGGCAGCGGUGCACGGGCGGCAGGACAUGGUGGAUUACCUGGACGCAGUAGCUAAGGGUUUGAGAGGGGAAAUGAUGAUUGAGUGCGGCAGUGCCGGCGCCGGCGGAAGCGGCAUGGGGGUGCAAGGGCCUGCCAGCAUGGAGGGCGGCGCGUCGCACG